RNAcentral lists this long non-coding RNA (244 nucleotides) under Panax ginseng (ginseng). RNAcentral's name for it is "long non-coding RNA (PGIN_LNC013382)". The record is from RNAcentral. Lineage: Eukaryota; Viridiplantae; Streptophyta; Magnoliopsida; Apiales; Araliaceae.
AGCCAAUGGUCACCAACACAGUACUACUCAUUUUGAAGCAUAAUGGCACAAACUCAGAAAGUUUAAGAAUAAAAAGCAAAAGGAAAAACAUUUGGGAGAUAUCAUGUAUGAAAGCGUUGGCUAUAACACAAAAAAUAGCAUAUCACAAAAACUAUCAUUGAUCAAAUCAGAUGCAAAAACAGAAUUUAUUGCAUUAUUAUUCAAAAGUAAAACAUACAAGAAGCCUAGAAAAAGCCUUUUUGUC